Eurytemora carolleeae is the source of this 462-nucleotide long non-coding RNA. RefSeq lists it as uncharacterized. Lineage: Eukaryota; Metazoa; Arthropoda; Copepoda; Calanoida; Temoridae. The transcript is spliced from 3 exons. The record is from RefSeq and is a predicted model, not a curated record.
GAAGGGAGUCUUACGAUCCAAUCCUGAGAAAUACCACACGGAGAAUCCAGAGUGUAGGCGACAGUACAGUGAUAAUUUUCUCAAGGUCGGGGGUACUCUAGGGGAUUCUACAGAAUCUUCUGUUCAGCAUAGAAGAAGAUGGAGAAGGAAGAAAACAUAGCUUGCAGUACAGUACAGUACUCGGCAGUACAUAAUAUCACUUUGAUUUGCUGUACAAUAUAAUACAGUUUGGUACUGUUAGUAUACUUAUAAAACUUACUACAGCAUAAAGUACUUUGUAUUACGGCUUACUACAGCAUAGUACUUAGUAGUACAGCUAUACUACAGCAUAAAGUACUUUGUAGUACAGCUUACUACAGCAUAAAGUACUUUGUAGUACAGUAGUAGAAUUAUACUUUACGCACAGGGCACUUUAAAACACUUCGCGGUACAGUGCAGUACAGUGCAGUAUUUUGCAGUACA